This 809-nucleotide long non-coding RNA is filed under the name Prunus persica (peach). Its description in RNAcentral is "long non-coding RNA (PPER_LNC005697)". The record is from RNAcentral. Lineage: Eukaryota; Viridiplantae; Streptophyta; Magnoliopsida; Rosales; Rosaceae.
AGCAGAACUAUUUGUCUUAAUUAAACUAAAAUUAAAGGACUAGAGAAACCAUUUUAAAAAUUAAGAUACUCAAAUAUAAAUCGAGUCUAAAUUCAGAGAUUAAUAAUAACCCAUAAAUUUACAGAUAAGUUUGACCAAAAAGUCAGAGAACUUUUAUCGCGUAGCACCGACUAACUUGGUAGUUUCUUUAUAGGUUUUUAUUUUAUUUUUAUGAAAACUUUCUAGGUACUUUCGGCUUUGCAUAUUCCAGAUGUCAUUCAAGAACGGCUAUAACGUUCCUUCUUUUGGGCCCCUUCCCCUUCUCUCUUGCAUAUUCCAAUUUCCAAGUCUUUUAACUUUUUAAUAUUCUAGGUUCAUAAUCGUAUGGCAUUCAUACCUUCUCCCUCCUUUCCAGCCACUUGCUGUGUACUUUUUUUUUUUUUUGGGGGCCAGAAGAACUUGCUGUGUAAGUUAAGUGCACAAGUUGGCAUCACUCUGACAUGUGAAAAACAACCCUCCACAUUUUUCAGCCCAAAAUUAUUUUUAUUAAUUAUUUAGAAUCCGUUUGAUAAUCAUUUUGAUUUUAAUUUUUAGUUUUUAUUUUUUGUGAUAGUGUAUAGAAAAAAAUAAGAGUGAGAAUGAAAAUGAGGAUAUAAGAUUCAGAGAGAGGAUGAAUAACAUAAGUGAAAAUAAAAUCUUAAAAUGUGCUGGCUUUAUCUUCAAUCGACAUGCAGGUAAUGAUGCAUAUCUUGUGCUGGGAUCCACUAGUCUCUAUCACACUAGUAUUUGGGGGAUAUUGGGAGCUUGCCAUUUGGGGAGCUCGCCUUUUC